Molecule: ribosomal RNA, 460 nt
Filed under: uncultured bacterium
Lineage: Bacteria
Description: partial 16S ribosomal RNA
Rfam family: Bacterial small subunit ribosomal RNA
Source: RNAcentral
CCUACGGGUGGCAGCAGUGAGGAAUAUUGGUCAAUGGGCGCAAGCCUGAACCAGCCAAGUAGCGUGAGGGAUGACGGUCCUACGGAUUGUAAACCUCUUUUGUCGGGGAGCAAGGCCCGCCACGUGUGGCGGGAAGGAGAGUACCCGACGAAAAAGCAUCGGCAAACUUCGUGCCAGCAGCCGCGGUAAUACGGAGGAUGCGAGCGUUAUCCGGAUUUAUUGGGUUAAAAGGGUGCGUAGGCGGAAGGUUUAGUCAGCGGUAAAAUGUCGGUGCUCAACACCGGCCUGCCGUUGAAACUGGACGUCUUGAGUGAGCGAGAAGUAUGCGGAAUGCGUGGUGUAGCGGUGAAAUGCAUAGAUAUCACGCAGAACUCCGAUUGCGAAGGCAGCAUACCGGCGCUCAACUGACGCUGAGGCACGAAAGCGUGGGGAUCGAACAGGAUUAGAUACCCGGGUAGUC